UAAAUUUGGAGUUAAUACCUCAUAGUAUUUUCGGAUCGCAUGAUUUGAUUAUUAAAGUCACAACGGUAAAAGAUGAGCAUGCGUCCCAUUAGUUAGUUGGUAAGGUAACGGCUUACCAAGACAAUGAUGGGUAGGGGUCCUGAGAGGGAGAUCCCCCACACUGGUACUGAGACACGGACCAGACUCCUACGGGAGGCAGCAGUGAGGAAUAUUGGACAAUGGGCGCAAGCCUGAUCCAGCCAUGCCGCGUGCAGGAAGACGGUCCUAUGGAUUGUAAACUGCUUUUAUACAGGAAGAAACACUCCGACGUGUCGGAGCUUGACGGUACUGUAGGAAUAAGGAUCGGCUAACUCCGUG
This 357-nucleotide ribosomal RNA is filed under the name uncultured bacterium. Its description in RNAcentral is "bacterial SSU rRNA". It matches the Rfam family "Bacterial small subunit ribosomal RNA", at positions 152 to 507 of the family's 1533-position model. The record is from RNAcentral.